Molecule: long non-coding RNA, 288 nt
Filed under: Elaeis guineensis (African oil palm)
Lineage: Eukaryota; Viridiplantae; Streptophyta; Magnoliopsida; Arecales; Arecaceae
Description: long non-coding RNA (EGUI_LNC014370)
Source: RNAcentral
UGUCUUUUCCUUCCUCAAAAAAUCCAGCUAUAUGCUUUGCUGUAAUCAAAUAGUGAUGGCCAUCUUAUAUUGGAAUGUGCAUGGGAUGGGUAAGCUAAACAAAAAAUGAGUGAUUAGGGAGGCCAUCAAAGUUUUUGCAUGCUGGAUUGCAUGAUUUCAAGAAUUAAAACUCGAGCAUAUAGAUAUUAGACUGCUAAGAUGGAUUUGUGGCUAAAACGUAGAUCUUUAGUAUGCAAAUGAUGCUAUUGGUGCUUUUGGUGGAAUUCUUACAUGCUGGAACUCUGCUAU